UACAAACAAACAUGGAGGCUCCCUCUAGCAGCUUUAUUGGAUUUACCCAGCCAUACAAGUUUUAGCCUCCAGAGCCAGAAUCCAAUUCAGAGGACAAUGACCAGCUACCCGAGAAUCAACCUCGUCCCUCUCGGGUCUGCAACACAAUGUAAGCCUUCCUGAAGAGCCAAGGUGCAGGACUCUUCAUCCAGGCCUUGAGCCUGUCUGCGUGAACCCCUACUCCCUGGAAAAUGCCCAAAACACCUACCAGGCAGAUCAUGGGCCACUGGAGAUGAAGGACAGAGCUGUUCGUGCUCGCUGCCUACCCUACGGAUGUUUUUGUUUCCUGGUGCCGGGGAUACCUGGGUAAGCACAACAGGGUUGUCAUACCUUCUUGUGUUGUGCUCCGUAUUCAUCAGGAGUACCCGGAUGAAGAUGGGGAGUACACAGGCUUUAAACCUCCCAUUUAAGGUCUUUUGUAUUGUAAUGGUUUUGUAAUGUGUUAUGUACACAUUAUUUAUUCAAUACACUUUCAAUACAUUUCAUAGAAGUCUUGGACAGCUGUCAACCAGUUUUUGAGUAAUGACAUGUUUGUAUGUGUGUCACAACUCACUUUUUUUUUUAAAUGGAGGCUGGUGGCGCUCUAGUGCAGGGGCAGACUGAGGCAGGAGGUAGGCUGGAGGAAGAUGACAACUGCACAUGGGGAAAACACUUGUCAAAUCUUUACUAUCAUGUUCAUACAAUAUUAUCGCAACAGGCCUAAUGUAAUGUAUAUAUUAUACCCAAAUAAAAUUUCGAGUAAAGGCCAGAAUAGUACGGUGGAGAUGAUGACUUA
This is a long non-coding RNA of Siniperca chuatsi (mandarin fish), 814 nucleotides long. RefSeq lists it as uncharacterized. Lineage: Eukaryota; Metazoa; Chordata; Actinopteri; Centrarchiformes; Sinipercidae. The transcript is spliced from 3 exons. The record is from RefSeq and is a predicted model, not a curated record.